This is a long non-coding RNA of Salarias fasciatus (jewelled blenny), 1831 nucleotides long. RefSeq lists it as uncharacterized. The transcript has 4 exons. The record is from RefSeq and is a predicted model, not a curated record. Lineage: Eukaryota; Metazoa; Chordata; Actinopteri; Blenniiformes; Blenniidae.
CACAUCCCGUCAUGCCGUGCGCGCCUACGUCCGCAGAGAGCAGCAUGUGCUGCGCCGCUGCGCUCCAACUAUGGCUCAGUGAGGCUGCGGCUCUGCUCAGGAGCGCGUCUCGUCGGGAGGAACUCUACGAGGAGCCGCAGCAGUUUCCAUCACCGCAACUGGAUCGUGCGGGAAGACCCGGCGUCUGCCGCCACUUCACGGGAAUAAUCACACUUGAUUUGCCACGAAGCGUAAAGGAUUCUUUGAUCGCGUCAAGAGGAUUAACUUACUCUCAUUUCGAACCUGACACGCGCGGGGAAGUUAUUAUUAUUGCUGUUUUUGAUUGAUCACGAUGACCACAGUUGAUGGAUUCAGAAUCCCGGCCAUGGAUCUCGCGCGUUAUGAGGAAUGUAGUGUGAUCUGGAUGCGCGUCCUGCUGCCGCAGCGCCGGACAAGCCGAGCCUCCUGGGAUAAUUGGGAUACACGCGUGGUCAAGUUUGGCAAUUGUCAGAGAUGGUCCGUGUCAUGUGCUGCCAUAUGUUUGUUGAAACGGAUCCUGCUUUGGGUUUUGGAAGCAAGAUGAUAACUUGGAAUGUAUCAGGAGAUGUCCAGUGAUUUGGAUAAUGCGCACCACCUGGACCAACAGUGAACCAAAUUCUUGGGAUGAGAUGCCAGCCGUUAACCGCCUCUCAGCGAUCCCGCGAUGAUCUUCGGUGAGCGCCGAGAAGAGGCUGAGUAAUGGAAACAUGAUCUCAGGAGAUUCGGCAGGAUCAUAUGAAAUCCCGGUCUGGACUGCGAACCAGCGUCGGCCUGCAGCAGAUGUUCGGUCCUGGCGCCGCUACUGACGGCCUCUGAGCUCCGUCUGUGACGGUCGACGGCCUCGGGAUCCACUCAGCGGAGACACGGCGACACAAACCCAGCAGGACGGCGGAGUCGACCCAGUCUGGAGCGACGGGCAAUAGAAAAUGCCAGCGUGGACACUCACUGCAGUUACCUCGACUGACCUGCAAAUUGUUCCAAUUUGUUCCUUUCCGUAUGUGCUUUUGUCUCGGUGACAAUGCAGCUCAUGGUACUUUACCCUCCUUCCUCUCUCCACAAGCUGCUCCCUCCUUCUAGAUGCACCUUAACUUAGUUCUGCAGCUGUAACUAGAAAAUCUAAAUUAUUUAUUUGGAACUCCUUAAAAGAAAAUCAUGAUGGGAUUAUCAGAGUGGUUAAAGGUAUGCACUUAAAAAAUACCAUCAAAGUAAGAUACAGGUUCUGCCAGUCUUAAUUCAGAGGGCGCUGAUGGAAAAAGCACGUCAUUGUUUAUCGUGAACCUUGGCUCUGUUCGAGGAUCUCCAGUGAGGCUGUGGGGUCACACGAGUGGAAGCUGAGCGUCAAAAUGUAUUAAUAAUACUUGAAAUUACAGAGAAGCUCGGAUUGGGGUGAUGUGGUGUUUUCAUGAUUAAGUUUAACAGAAUUAUUCCUUUUUAAUUUCCCACUAACAUGAAGCUGUUACGUAGUGAACAGAGUACAAUGUGUCCACUGUGUGACGAUUAAAUCCUUUUAAAAGAUUCGUAAGAAGCUGCUGUCAUCAAGGUGCAGAUAAAGACACACUCCCACAAAGAAAAGCACAUCAGCAGCCUGUACCGGUUAUUAGUCAUGUCAGGGUAUCUAAUGCCAGAUCUAUUUAUUGCUUCAUGAGUUUUGUUGUGUCUGCAUGACUCUGCUUCAUGAUGGGUUUUUUUUUUUUUUUAAAUUGCAGCAGCGGAACUUGUCAGAUCAAUAAUAAGAGGCUUUCGUGCCAUUUGUUUUUAUUCUGCUGUGCGUUCUUUUCUUGUUGGUUAUUUUUUUUUCCUUUUGUUAAUGAAA